GGAAUCUGCCUAUUAGUGGGGGACAACAUUUCGAAAGGAAUGCUAAUACCGCAUACGUCCUACGGGAGAAAGCAGGGGAUCUUCGGACCUUGCGCUAAUAGAUGAGCCUAAGUCGGAUUAGCUAGUUGGUGGGGUAAAGGCCUACCAAGGCGACGAUCUGUAGCGGGUCUGAGAGGAUGAUCCGCCACACUGGGACUGAGACACGGCCCAGACUCCUACGGGAGGCAGCAGUGGGGAAUAUUGGACAAUGGGCGGAAGCCUGAUCCAGCCAUGCCGCGUGUGUGAAGAAGGCCUUAUGGUUGUAAAGCACUUUAAGCGAGGAGGAGGCUACUUUAGUUAAUACCUAGAGAUAGUGGACGUUACUCGCAGAAUAAGCACCGGCUAACUCUGUGCCAGCAGCCGCGGUAAUACAGAGGGUGCAAGCGUUAAUCGGAUUUACUGCGCGUAAAGCGCGCGUAGGCGGCUAAUUAAGUCAAAUGUGAAAUCCCCGAGCUUAACUUGGGAAUUGCAUUCGAUACUGGUUAGCUAGAGUGUGGGAGAGGAUGGUAGAAUUCCAGGUGUAGCGGUGAAAUGCGUAGAGAUCUGGAGGAAUACCGAUGGCGAAGGCAGCCAUCUGGCCUAACACUGACGCUGAGGUGCGAAAGCAUGGGGAGCAAACAGGAUUAGAUACCCUGGUAGUCCAUGCCGUAAACGAUGUCUACUAGCCGUUGGGGCCUUUGAGGCUUUAGUGGCGCAGCUAACGCGAUAAGUAGACCGCCUGGGGAGUACGGUCGCAAGACUAAAACUCAAAUGAAUUGACGGGGGCCCGCACAAGCGGUGGAGCAUGUGGUUUAAUUCGAUGCAACGCGAAGAACCUUACCUGGCCUUGACAUAGUAAGAACUUUCCAGAGAUGGAUUGGUGCCUUCGGGAACUUACAUACAGGUGCUGCAUGGCUGUCGUCAGC
This 944-nucleotide ribosomal RNA is filed under the name Acinetobacter lactucae. RNAcentral describes it as "bacterial SSU rRNA". It matches the Rfam family "Bacterial small subunit ribosomal RNA", at positions 121 to 1059 of the family's 1533-position model. The record is from RNAcentral. Lineage: Bacteria; Pseudomonadati; Pseudomonadota; Gammaproteobacteria; Moraxellales; Moraxellaceae.